Molecule: ribosomal RNA, 491 nt
Filed under: uncultured bacterium
Lineage: Bacteria
Description: partial 16S ribosomal RNA
Rfam family: Bacterial small subunit ribosomal RNA
Source: RNAcentral
GUGGACGCUGGCGGUAGGCCUAACACAUGCAAGUCGAACGGCAGCACAGUAAGAGCUUGCUCUUACGGGUGGCGAGUGGCGGACGGGUGAGGAAUACAUCGGAAUCUACUUUUUCGUGGGGGAUAACGUAGGGAAACUUACGCUAAUACCGCAUACGACCUACGGGUGAAAGCAGGGGAUCUUCGGACCUUGCGCGAUUGAAUGAGCCGAUGUCGGAUUAGCUAGUAGGCGGGGUAAAGGCCCACCAAGGCGACGAUCCGUAGCUGGUCUGAGAGGAUGAUCAGCCACACUGGAACUGAGACACGGUCCAGACUCCUACGGGAGGCAGCAGUGGGGAAUAUUGGCCAAUGGGCGCAAGCCUGAUCCAGCCAUACCGCGUGAGUGAAGAAGGCCUUCGGGUUGUAAAGCCCUUUUGUUAGGAAAGAAAAGCAGCAGGUUAAUACCCCGCUGUUCUGACGUUACCCAAAGAAUAAGCACCGGCUAACUUCGUG